AUUCGAGAAAUCGCGAAAAACGUUUUAAAAUAAUGCGUUGUGUAGUGAAGUUUUGUGGCAGCAACCUGUAUUUGCCGAAAAGUGAUGAAGUUUCAUCGACACACAGAUUCCCCAUAAAUCCUGUUCGAGCGCAACAGAGGUGAGCUGCUUUGGCUUCUGAUAUAGAACAGGAGAACAUGGAAGUGUUCGAAUCUGUGCGGCCCAUUCUACAGAAUCAGAUUCUUCCUUCAGCACAAAUGGCAAGCGAAAGUUACAGAGUAAUGCUAUUCCCAGGGUGUUUCCGGAGCAGAAUGAAAAGAUUUUACCGCUUAGAGAUAUUUGCAACUUAGUGCCGGUUGCCAUAGUUGAUCGACCGGAUGAUUGUUUACCACCCUCCAUGACAAUCGUAAAGCAAUCUGUAGAUCAGAAUGACUGUUCCACAACAGAGGUGAAGAAGGUUCUGCCAUUGAAUAUUUGCUCCGCUGACGCAUGUCUCGCCGUGGUUGGAUCAAGUAACGGAGAGCGCCGUCCAAAGUGAAAUGCACUUAGUUUUUAAUGUUUAUUUUUAAGCAUUUUUGUAAAUAUUUUGUAGGAUAAGGUACGCAGGUGAUAUCAAAGAUAGCUCUAACUUAACACCGAAUCAAGCCGUAGAAAUACUUCCUAAG
Molecule: long non-coding RNA, 644 nt
Organism: Wyeomyia smithii (pitcher-plant mosquito)
Lineage: Eukaryota; Metazoa; Arthropoda; Insecta; Diptera; Culicidae
Exons: 3
Source: RefSeq, a predicted model, not a curated record